GAUGAAGAACGUAGCGAAAUGCGAUAAGUAAUGUGAAUUGCAGAAUUCAGUGAAUCAUCGAAUCUUUGAACGCACCUUGCGCCCUUUGGCCAUUCCGAAGGGCAUGCCUGUUUGAGUAUCAUGAACACCUCAACUCUUUAUGGUUUUCCAUGAUGAGCUUGGACUCUGGGGGUUUUGCUGGCUCACAGUCGGCUCCUCUAAAAUAAAUCAGCUUACCAGUGUUUGGUGGGUAUCAUGGGUGUGAUAACUAUCUACGCUUGUGGUUUUUCCACCAGGUAACCUUCAGCAGUGGAGGUUCGCUGGAGCUCAUAGACGUCUCUCCUCAGUGAGGACAGCCCUUUGACCGUUUGAUCUCAAAUCAGGUAGGACUACCCGCUGAACUUAAGCAUAUCAAUAAGCGGAGGA
Molecule: unclassified non-coding RNA, 405 nt
Filed under: soil metagenome
Description: partial contains 5.8S ribosomal RNA, internal transcribed spacer 2, and large subunit ribosomal RNA
Rfam family: 5.8S ribosomal RNA (bases 1-121)
Source: RNAcentral